AUGAUGUGCUUGAAGGUGAGCGGCGCAAAGGCGUAUCCCUCACCCUUAUAGAACUUGGACUGGAACUCCACCCUGAGGCAAAACACACCAGCAUUAAUACACUACAGCACACUUCAGCAGGUCAUAUGGAGGGAAAAAAGGCACACCAUGUGUACCAACUCUAUUUAUUACAUUCCCAUCACUAGCAUACGUCUCUCUUAAUUUCAUAAGCCACUAGACCAAAAGUUCAAGUCAUGUCAAGAGGAGAGAGGCAGGAAAAGUGAGUGGCAUAAGCACCUCUGACAGCUGCCCGUGCGCCAAGGACAGCGCCCACAGUCGGAGGUAGGAGGCUGUAUGGGAGACGCAGCCCAGCACAAACUCGAUGGUGUGAAUGGCUUGCUCAAUGAACACCUCACUGAACUCAAACUCC
This is a long non-coding RNA of Scylla paramamosain (green mud crab), 409 nucleotides long. RefSeq lists it as uncharacterized. The record is from RefSeq and is a predicted model, not a curated record. NCBI's taxonomy places the organism in Eukaryota, Metazoa, Arthropoda, Malacostraca, Decapoda, Portunidae. The transcript has 4 exons.